Molecule: transfer RNA, 74 nt
Filed under: Ruminococcus sp.
Lineage: Bacteria; Bacillati; Bacillota; Clostridia; Eubacteriales; Oscillospiraceae
Description: tRNA-Ile
Rfam family: tRNA
About the family: Transfer RNA (tRNA) molecules are approximately 80 nucleotides in length. Their secondary structure includes four short double-helical elements and three loops (D, anti-codon, and T loops).
Source: RNAcentral
GGGCCUUUAGCGCAGAAGGUUAGAGCAACCGCCUCAUAAGCGGUCGGUCCUGGGUUCGAAUCCCAGAGGGCCCA